Long non-coding RNA from Pseudopipra pipra, 865 nucleotides. RefSeq lists it as uncharacterized. The record is from RefSeq and is a predicted model, not a curated record. The transcript has 3 exons. NCBI's taxonomy places the organism in Eukaryota, Metazoa, Chordata, Aves, Passeriformes, Pipridae.
AUUUACUGGUCCUUGCAACAGCUACAGAAAGCUGGUCAAGCAGCCACCAGUUAGAGCAUGGAAACAUAGGUGUGAUCAAAGCCUAAAUUGUCUUGUUGCAGGGCUCUCACCUGCCUGAAGGGAGUAGUGGAUUUCAGCAUUAGCUCCUUGGUCCUGAUCGAGGGCUCUGACUUGUAGAACCUCUGUGCCCACCACUGCUGAGUCCAGCACUUCUGCUUCAUAGUGGAUGCUGCUGAACUGCGGAGGGUGGAGGUUGCAGCUGUCCACAUGGACGAUGACUCGGACAAAGUUCCGCUUGAUGGGGACCUCCUGGUCUCGCACCUGAAUGACAGAGGAAGAGCAGGCACAGUCACACCUGGGGAGAAGGCAGCCUUGCCCGCACCAGCUUCCAAGCAACUCAUCAGGACUCCUACACAGGUCUUCCUGUGCAGUGAGGGCUGGAAUUCUGGCUGCUUCUCAUGUGUGGAGAGAACGGUUGGUGGAAGAUCAAGCCCUGAACACCCCUCCUCAGGGCAGGUUUGCAAACUGUGUCCUCAGUCAGCACUAACCACAGGGAGAAUUUCCACUUGGAAAUACAGGCGAGUUUCUUUGCUGCUGUGCAGGCAGGAGAAGGCUCAAUUUCAGCCGUAACAGGGAAAGGGCUGUUCUGUUCCACCCUUGCUGACUGUCUAGGUCUGAAAGCUCAAAGAGGCCAACUUAUUCCUCAAGUCCUGAUGUAACCCCAUGUAUGGCAUUUGCCCCAACGCAGUGAAAUUCCAGCAACUUGAUACUUCAGGCUGUGACCUUUGAGGGGUUAAGGGAGCCCCAACUGCAACCUCCAGAGCUCGCUCUGAUGCUCAGUUAAAGCCACGGAGUCUGCACUUGU